GAUGAACGCUAGCUACAGGCUUAACACAUGCAAGUCGAGGGGCAGCAUGGUCUUAGCUUGCUAAGGCCGAUGGCGACCGGCGCACGGGUGAGUAACACGUAUCCAACCUGCCGUCUACUCUUGGACAGCCUUCUGAAAGGAAGAUUAAUACAAGAUGGCAUCAUGAGUCCGCAUGUUCACAUGAUUAAAGGUAUUCCGGUAGACGAUGGGGAUGCGUUCCAUUAGAUAGUAGGCGGGGUAACGGCCCACCUAGUCUUCGAUGGAUAGGGGUUCUGAGAGGAAGGUCCCCCACAUUGGAACUGAGACACGGUCCAAACUCCUACGGGAGGCAGCAGUGAGGAAUAUUGGUCAAUGGGCGAGAGCCUGAACCAGCCAAGUAGCGUGAAGGAUGACUGCCCUAUGGGUUGUAAACUUCUUUUAUAAAGGAAUAAAGUCGGGUAUGGAUACCCGUUUGCAUGUACUUUAUGAAUAAGGAUCGGCUAACUCCGUGCCAGCAGCCGCGGUAAUACGGAGGAUCCGAGCGUUAUCCGGAUUUAUUGGGUUUAAAGGGUGCGUAGAUGGAUGUUUAAGUCAGUUGUGAAAGUUUGCGGCUCAACCGUAAAAUUGCAGUUGAUACUGGAUAUCUUGAGUGCAGUUGAGGCAGGCGGAAUUCGUGGUGUAGCGGUGAAAUGCUUAGGUAUCACGAAGAACUCCGAUUGCGAAGGCAGCCUGCUAAGCUGCAACUGACAUUGAGGCUCGAAAGUGUGGGUAUCAAACAGGAUUAGAUACCCUGGUAGUCCACACGGUAAACC
This 791-nucleotide ribosomal RNA is filed under the name uncultured bacterium. RNAcentral describes it as "bacterial SSU rRNA". It matches the Rfam family "Bacterial small subunit ribosomal RNA", at positions 28 to 808 of the family's 1533-position model. The record is from RNAcentral.